CGGAAGACGGCGUGAUAUGCUGUUCUACUUUUAAGUGGUGACCUCAUUUUAUUGCUGAAAGUUGGGACAUUACCCGGGAGUUCAGUCCUCCUGGAAUUUCAGCCUGUGAUAGUUAAAACAGGAAACAGAUAAAAUAAAUUAAAAU
Long non-coding RNA from Centruroides sculpturatus (bark scorpion), 145 nucleotides. RefSeq lists it as uncharacterized. The transcript is spliced from 2 exons. The record is from RefSeq and is a predicted model, not a curated record. NCBI's taxonomy places the organism in Eukaryota, Metazoa, Arthropoda, Arachnida, Scorpiones, Buthidae.